GCGGAUAUAUAUUAAUGGUAAAUGAUCUGCCUUCCAAGCAGAAGAUAUGAGUUCAAUUCUCAUUAUCCGCA
This 71-nucleotide transfer RNA is filed under the name Vischeria punctata. RNAcentral describes it as "tRNA-Gly". It matches the Rfam family "tRNA". Rfam says of the family: Transfer RNA (tRNA) molecules are approximately 80 nucleotides in length. Their secondary structure includes four short double-helical elements and three loops (D, anti-codon, and T loops). Lineage: Eukaryota; Eustigmatophyceae; Eustigmatales; Chlorobotryaceae. The record is from RNAcentral. RNAcentral also lists the same sequence under 2 other names.